AUGCAUAAUCUAUAAACAUUGUAUUCAUUUUUAGUUGUGUUUCACUUGUAUGAUAUUAUUAAUUUUUUUGUUAGAUAUCAAUAUUUUCACAAGAUCUAACCAACCAAACAAGUAAAACCAGAAUAAGCUAAAAUAAUAACUAACACACAUGUGAGAAGAAGAAAAUCUAUACAAAAUUUUCCCAAAAAGUUUCAAGAGUAAAACUAAUCAAAAAUAUUUGCAAUAAGUUUCAAGUGUAUAGUUAUAACACAUUAACUUUUGAAAAUUAUCCAAGACCAUUAAAAGUUUACUAAAAUACAUUGUAAAAUAAUUAAAUCAUGAAAAAAAUAUGAUGAGUAAUACACAAAUAUACUUUUAAUAGAAUUUACGACGUAGACUUCAACUGCAGUCUAUAUUUGUAGAUUUACAAAGACGUCUACACUUAUUAUCUAACAUAUAGUCAAUCAAAAAAUUUCUAGUGUACUUGGCGCUGGCUUGAUAGACAAACGCGUACAAAGUGUGUCUUAGAUAACUCGAUCAAGUUCCGUACUUGUCGAUCAUUCGUGACAUGCAUAAGAAGAGUAUUUGCCUAUUUGGAGUCAUUUGUUGUAAAAUGACGUCUGGUAAGGAAUAUGUUAGCACCAUCUUCUCGAUUUUCUUGUAAUGGUCAUAAUCUUCUUGUGCCAUUUCAAGAAAUUCACCAUGUGUACAGCCAUCAUGCACAAGGAACAUUCUUCCUCCUUUCCGAUUAUUGACCACAACCUCCCACAAAGAGUCUUUCACUACCCAUCCUCCGUAUACAAUAUGUAAAAGAGCUAUUUCCGGAAAAAAAUACAGUUUACAUAAUUAGCGGAGAAAUAUUUUAUGUUUCAAAAAACUAUAUAGGUAGACUUACAAAUACGUCUACAAUUAUUAGCUAACAACAUAGUCAAAUCAAAAGUAUUUUACUUUCAUAAUUAUAACAGAUUAGGAUUAACUAAUACACACUGUCAAACAAAAAAAUAUAUUAAAAAACUUAAUAAAUAAUAUACGAAUUCACUUUUAAUAUAAUUUUUUAUGUAGACUCCAUAUUCAAUCUACGAAGAUGUAGACGUUCUUUUCAGUUUACUAAUGUAGACUAUCAAAUAGGUCUACUCUUUGGGUUAGUUUUUGCAAUUGAAAAUUUUACGGGUUACUUUCUAUAUUUAAAAAAGUUGUGAUUUUAUACAAGUAGACUUCAAUUUCAGUCUACACUUCAAAAUAGUUAGGUUUUUCAAUUGACCAAAAUUCACCCAUGAUUUGACUUUCGGAUAUAGACUUCAUAUGCAGUCUACAUUUUUGAUUUUUUUUAAAGAGGUUAGUUUUGCAAUUGACAAAGUUUGACUUUCUACGAGUAAAUGGAAACGAACAUCUAUAUAUUUUUAGACUUCGUUUGAAGUCUACUCUCAAAUUAAACGGGUUAGUUUUGCAUUUGACCAAAAUAAAAUAGUAGACUUUACAUGUAGUCUACUUUUUUUUCUAAGUUAAGAAGACUGCAUAUGAAGUCUACAGUUUAACAAAAUUUUAAUUAAUUUUUAAACUUUUUAGUCAAACACAAAAGUAACCUAGUUUUGGUCAAAUGCAAAACUGACAUUUUGCAAACUUUUCAGGCAGUCUACAAUUCGUAGACUUCCGUUGAAGUCUACCAUAAAAGUCAAAAGUUCGGUCAAAUGCAAAACUAACCUCUUUUACAUAGACGUCUUAGUAAGUUUACCUAAAUUUUUUUUUUGUUGUCAAAGAUAAAGACGAAGACUGCCGGGGAAGUAUGCGGCAAAAAAUAAAUUGUUUGGUCAAAUGCAAAACUGACAUGUGCGUUGACAAGUAGACUGUAUCGUACAUCUGCAUAUAGGCAUAGACAUACAAAAUAGUCUACUAUCUCGACACCGAUCUGAAAAAUGAUGAAAACCAUGUAAAUAGUAAUCUUUUUAUGGUGUAAAGUUCGUUUCCAACCUUCUCAACCGUCCAAACUCCAAAUAUGAACAAAAAGAACUGCCUUUAACGAUUCACUAAUGAAAAAAACUCGAAAAUAUGAAGUUUGCGUUUAUGAAAAUGAAAAUUAUGAGAGUUUUCUAGCUGGAAAUGUAGAGGAAACGAGAGGAAAUGAAGAUUUGUUGGUUUAGAAUAAAAAAAAAUGGUUGAAAAUUGAAUUCUAGAGCUUUAAAAGCUUAAAAAUGGUGGUUCAUGAUGGUUGGAAAAAUUAAUGAUAAUGACAUUAUUGUAAAUAAGAAGAAAUAAUGUGAGUGUAUUUGGUUUUCUGUGAAUUUCGAAAUUAAUAAAAAAUUAAAUAAUAAUGGUAAUUUUAUAAAUAAUUCAAAAAUAUAGGAAUAAUAUAGAAAAUUUAUUGAUGAGUUUGUUUUGAAAAACUUCUCAAAUAUGGCUAUCUUGCCAAUAAGCCCUACAAUAACGGCUAUCUACUUUUUAGUUCUCCGAUUAUAUAACUGGAUAUUUCAUUUUAUGAUCCUGCAAUGAUUUUCCUCCAUAAUUAAUACUCCCUCUGUUCCUAAAUAAUCUAUGUUUUAGAAUUUUCACACUUAUUAAGAAAACACUUAAAAUUUUGAUAAUAAAUGUAUGAUUUUCUGUGUUUAGCUAUUUCCUAUGAUUUUUAACCAAUCAAAAUUCAGUAAACACAAUUAAUGUUUUUGAAAUUUACAAUUUUCCAUUAUUACAUACAUUGAAAAUGUAAAAUAUGGAUCUUUUAGAAACAAAAUAUUUUUCUAAAACAUGAAUCAUUUAGGAACGGAGGGAGUAUAUGACUUAUAACCAACGCCCAUUUCGCUAGUGUGAUUUGGGUUGCUGGAUUAAAUCUUGAGAGUAGAAAUUUAACAGAUCUAGUUGAAAGGUCGUCCCAUUAUCAGCAAAGGUAUGCGAAGGAACAUACGGCAUUGAAAAUGAUAUUAUAAACAGUCACCAAGAAUAAAUAACCAGUCAUUUAACAGGCAGGUACCAAGAAUAAAUAGCCAGUCACCAAGAAUAAAUAGCCAGUCAUUAUCAACUAAAGUGUGAAAAUCGAGAAGGAACUAUGACCGUGAUUUACUAAUUGUGUACAUAAAACUGCAUAGAAAGUUAAAGCUCAAAUUUAAAUGGCGAACUGAAGGUAGAACAACGACUGCAUUAUACAACACCUAUCAAUUAGGUAAUAAUAUAGGAACAUGAGUCUGUUUUACAAAAAGGUGAAAGAUAGAGUAGAGAUAAAAGUUGGAUAGAACUUAGGUUCAUCCUCUAGGGUGAACCUUUAAAUUCACUCAACCUUUUAAAACUAAUCAAAUUUUCGUAUAUAUUAUUAAUUAAAAAAUAUUAAAUUAAAUAAAAAAUAGCUACAAAAAAAUAAAAACGCUAAAUUUAACGACGCUAACGCUUACACCUAAAUCUUAAAUCUUAAAUUCUAAACCCUAUAACCUAAAUUCUAAACCCAAAUCCAAACCCCUAAACCCAAAUCCUAUACCCUAUACCCUAAUCAUAGACCCUAAACCCAAAAACUAGACUAUAAACCUAAACUCUAUACCCUAAACUCCAGUCCUAGACCAUAAACCCAAACCGUAAACCUCAAACCCAAAUUAUAUACCCUAAACCCAAAACUUUAACCAUACGUCCAAACAGUAAAUCCUAAACCAAAACCGUAAAUCCUAAACCCAAAACCUAUACCCUAAACCCAAAUCCUAGACCUAAAACCUAAACGGUAAACCCUAAAUCCAAACCCUAAACUUAGAUGCUAUAAGGUUUGGGUUAAGGUUUACGGUUAGGUUUAGGUCUAAGACUUGGGUUUAGGGUAUAGGUUUAUAGUCUAUUUUGAGUUUAAGGUAUAUAAUUUGGGUUUAGGAUCUAGGAUUAUGGUUUAGGGUAUAGGGUUUGGGUUUGAGGUCUAGGAUUAGGGUUUAUGGUAUAGGGUUUGGGUUUAGGGGUUUGGAUUUGGGUUUAGAAUUUAGGGUAUAAGGUUUAGAAUUUAAAAUUUAGGGUUUAGUGUUUCGCUGGAAGCGUUAGCGUCGUUAAAAUUAGCGUUUUUUAUUUUUUGUAGCUAUUUUUUAUUUAAUUUAAUAUUUUUUAAUUAAUAAUCUAUGUGAAAAUUUGAUUGGUCCUAAAUGGUGGGGUGAAUUUAAAGGUUCACCUUAAGGAGUCACCCUAAGUUCUGUCCAUAAAAGUUCGGGUAUACAAACAACUAAAAACACCCAAAAAGCCAAAAUAGCAGAAGAAAGAACAUGAAUUCAGAGGACCGCAACCCGCUCUCGGUAAAUCAUAACGGCAAGCCUCUCAACCUCAGCAUCAAGGACGCUGCUGUCAUUAUGCAUUUGCAUACGUCGACACCUGCAACCUCAUGUGCUUGGAUUAGAAGAACUGCAGUGACGGUGGAUUCCGACUGCUUGGGAUUAUGUGGCACAAUGCAGGGCCUGUCAACAAUCACAGCUUUCAGGUCUUCAUCUUAAGAUUUUGCCAACUUGUGGGGGAAAUCAAGACUAGAACAGAGGUGUUUUCAUAAUAUGGAAGGAAAAGAUGAAGAUUUAAGAAGCUAUAGGUUUUUUGGAGACUCCAUUAUGACUGCGACUUCAUCUUUAUCGAGGGCGUUUAAAAUUUUACUGAUACAUGAAUGUUUGUGAUAAGGGUCAAAGGACAUCAUAAAGGAAAGGGAGGAUGAUGGAUUACACCACCGCUAGGAGACAUUAAAAUCUUGGCGCUAUUGGAUGGUUUGAAAAGAAUCUAUCUAUCUGGCUAUAUUAUAAUAGUUGAGUUUCUCUCCCUCUAAAGCUGUCCACGUCGACAUGACUUUUAUUUAUGGGUCCCAUGUUCAUGUCCGGUUUGGUUAUCACGUUCGAUUUGGUUAUUAAAUAAAUAUGUUUAUGUUCUUCUUCUUCAUCCCGUGAACCGUCUUCAUCGUCUCCACACCCUAUCAAGCGAUCUAAAGUCAAGAUCGAUGCCGCUAUUGAAUCUGUAUAUUAGUUCUUGUCCUAAUCUGAGUUUCUUUUUCUUUUGGUUUCAAAUCUAAUUUUUGUUUUUUAUAACCUAGGUGGCAGCGGCAGAACCUGCGGGGACUUCGUCGGCGAGCGAGGUUCCGGUUGAUAAUCAAAGAACGGUUUCGGAUGCUGAUUGAAAUCUGGAGAGUCGGAGUUUGAUUCCUCAUCCGCAAACUAUGGAUGCGGAGAAGCCUCUUUUAACUGACGUGCCUGUGAUGGAGAUCUCUCUUGAAGCCGGCACAAACCCUGAAGUCGAUGUCUUGGCGACACCUACAAUAGCAGGUGAAGUGGUGACGGAUUGCAACAGUUGACUGUGAAGAUUAGAUCUCUUGAUUUCUUUAUUCCACCGUAGGAAACAUGUCUAAAGCUGUUAUACAACUCUUCAUAACACUUGCUUUGCCGUUUAUCAUAUAAACAUUUGCAGGUUUGUCAUACCCGUAUUUUUUUUUUUUUGCAUCUCAUGCUGUUUCUCUGCUUUUGGCUGGUAUCUGAACUUUUUUUUUGUGUUAGGAUUUGUGAGAUACUAAUUUUCUAUUAUCUAAAUAUUUUAUUGUGAACAGAAAUUCAGAAACACAAGGUUUCAACCGGAGAUUUCAAAAGUUACCAGUAUAUACUUUCACAGAAUACUUUUGUGCUUUCCCUGAGCUAUGUAUGAACCACACAUGCCUCUUGAGAAUUAGUCACUCUUUAGAAAGGCUAAAGUCUUGAAGGCAAACAUGCUACAAAAAGACAUGUAUGUAUCUUUUUAUAAUUGUGUUUAUUUCUUUCA
Molecule: long non-coding RNA, 5709 nt
Organism: Brassica rapa (field mustard)
Lineage: Eukaryota; Viridiplantae; Streptophyta; Magnoliopsida; Brassicales; Brassicaceae
Source: RefSeq, a predicted model, not a curated record